UAGACGACUCUCGGCAACGGAUAUCUCGGCUCUCGCAUCGAUGAAGAACGUAGCGAAAUGCGAUACUUGGUGUGAAUUGCAGAAUCCCGUGAACCAUCGAGUCUUUGAACGCAAGUUGCGCCCGAGGCCACUCGGCCGAGGGCACGCCUGCCUGGGCGUCACGC
This 164-nucleotide ribosomal RNA is filed under the name Lindera obtusiloba. Its description in RNAcentral is "5.8S ribosomal RNA". It matches the Rfam family "5.8S ribosomal RNA". Rfam says of the family: 5.8S ribosomal RNA (5.8S rRNA) is a component of the large subunit of the eukaryotic ribosome. It is transcribed by RNA polymerase I as part of the 45S precursor that also contains 18S and 28S rRNA. Functionally, it is thought that 5.8S rRNA may be involved in ribosome translocation. Lineage: Eukaryota; Viridiplantae; Streptophyta; Magnoliopsida; Laurales; Lauraceae. The record is from RNAcentral.